AGUGAACGCUGGCGGUAGGCCUAACACAUGCAAGUCGAACGGCAGCACAGUAAGAGCUUGCUCUUACGGGUGGCGGGUGGCGGACGGGUGAGGAAUACAUCGGAAUCUACUUUUUCGUGGGGGAUAACGUAGGGAAACUUACGCUAAUACCGCAUACGACCUACGGGUGAAAGCAGGGGAUCUUCGGACCUUGCGCGAUUGAAUGAGCCGAUGUCGGAUUAGCUAGUUGGCGGGGUAAAGGCCCACCAAGGCGACGAUCCGUAGCUGGUCUGAGAGGAUGAUCAGCCACACUGGAACUGAGACACGGUCCAGACUCCUACGGGAGGCAGCAGUGGGGAAUAUUGGACAAUGGGCGCAAGCCUGAUCCAACCAUACCGCGUGGGUGAAGAAGGCCUUCGGGUUGUAAAGCCCUUUUGUUGGGAAAGAAAAGCAGCAGGUUAAUACCCCGCUGUUCUGACGGUACCCAAAGAAUAAGCACCGGCUAACUUCGUG
Molecule: ribosomal RNA, 492 nt
Filed under: uncultured bacterium
Lineage: Bacteria
Description: partial 16S ribosomal RNA
Rfam family: Bacterial small subunit ribosomal RNA
Source: RNAcentral